GCCCUGUAAAGCAGGGGUUCCCAAACAUUUCUGCCUGUGACCCUGAAAAUAUAUAUUUUUAAAUGAUAUUUAAUCAUUUAAUUUCAUCAUUUAAGCACUGUUGCCUUGCAGCAAGAAGGCCCUGGGUUCGAAUCCCAGCCAGGGGUCU
Non-coding RNA from Crenichthys baileyi (White River springfish), 148 nucleotides. Lineage: Eukaryota; Metazoa; Chordata; Actinopteri; Cyprinodontiformes; Goodeidae. The record is from the annotation of a GenBank genome assembly.